AUGGGAAUCGAACCCACAAUGUUCCGCUUACCGGGCAGAUGCCAUGUCCACUAGGCU
RNAcentral lists this transfer RNA (57 nucleotides) under Cordylochernes scorpioides. Its description in RNAcentral is "tRNA-Thr". The record is from RNAcentral. Lineage: Eukaryota; Metazoa; Arthropoda; Arachnida; Pseudoscorpiones; Chernetidae.